UAUUGUUGAGUAAAUAACUCCUAUUAUUGCUUGAGGUAAUUCUUCUAAGCUCUAUCUUCAAAGGCCAUUUUUGCUUGGCAAAAGAAAUCCUAUUUGGAAGCACUAUGGAGAUACUGGGAAGGCAUUUCUUUGAAGGUGAAAAAGGGCAAACCUGAAGAUAAAGUGGUCCUUUAUAAAAAAAAGAUUGUGCUUUUCUUAAGACAGUAGGGAUACCUGUUACCUAAGUACAUGCUUUGCCGAGGUUUGAAAUCUCCAGCGAAGAUGAUGCAGUUCUACUUUAAUGCUUAAAUGUAUUGUUGUGUUGUUUUCUUCUUACCGGUUGCAUAACUACCCCUGGCCCCCACCUCCCAUGCCUCUCUUCUUUGUGUGUUCUUAUUUCUCAUCCUUACCUUAAAUAUAGUUUUUCCUUCUUUCAAUCUUCCAUGUGUUGAACCAAGUCACCAAGGCAACUAAAUAAUUUUGGCAGCAAUAUUUGAAGCGUGAAAUGUAUAAUUGUGUGGGAAUAUGUGAGCAGCAAAGCAAGUGCUAGGAAGGUAAUCCCGAUAUGUUCUGGCAGGAACGUUUCUCCUAGUUAUGCCUUGUUUGAAUGGUUUCUGUUGUUGCCUAAAUAUGGAGGUAAGACUCGAAAGUUGAUGCAACAAGCUUCUUGUUCUAGCCCUGCUGAACUGCUUGGGCUGAUGAAAGUGAAAUUGGGGAAAUUUUGCACGCAGUUGGUUUGGGUGUGUGCUGGCCAGGCCUGGCCUUCGGCUCUAAAUGUAUCCAGCUGCGAGCUGUAUAUCAAGGGUCCUGUGGUUUUCUAAGAAUUUGAAGUCCGAGAAUGUCGGUGGGAAUUACAAAUCUUGAUAUUUCUAAAGAUUUCUGUUGUUCUAUAGAUA
Molecule: unclassified non-coding RNA, 875 nt
Filed under: Hevea brasiliensis (rubber tree)
Lineage: Eukaryota; Viridiplantae; Streptophyta; Magnoliopsida; Malpighiales; Euphorbiaceae
Source: RNAcentral